This is a long non-coding RNA of Xiphophorus hellerii (green swordtail), 7615 nucleotides long. RefSeq lists it as uncharacterized. NCBI's taxonomy places the organism in Eukaryota, Metazoa, Chordata, Actinopteri, Cyprinodontiformes, Poeciliidae. The transcript is spliced from 3 exons. The record is from RefSeq and is a predicted model, not a curated record.
ACAAUUUUGCAUUUCAGCAAAAACGUAGCUCAACUGUAGUGAAUGCUAAUAGCUAAUGGCUAGCCGUACUAGUUUAGAUGGUAUUGCUCAUCCAGAGGGUGAUGACGAGGUUUAUAUUAAGAAAAACAAAUAAAAGUGUCCAAGUGUUUAUUAAUAGUGUCACAACUUAAUAUUUUCCCUUCAUCAAGCAGUUUUAAUUAUGAUUAUUACAGAUAAAAUAACGUAGUCAGGUUGUGUUUGUACUAAAAACCACUGAAGGAAACAAAAACCGAAAAACGAAACCGAGCACAACUUCAUGAAAUAUGAACAAAAACGGAGUAGCGUCAGAUUUCAGCAGUUGUAGGAUUUCUCUUGUUGAGUCAUUUCUCCUGCUAGCACUAGGCUAGCGCAUUUGUUUUGGUUAGAUUUACCCAGAAUGCCAUGCAUUGUAGUUCACUUUCUCCUCUGGUCCGCUUCACAUGUGCAUUCGAAUGGCACCAGAGUUCACUUCAGCCGACCCGGGGUUUGUAGGCGGACCAGAGUUCGCUUUUUUGGUUCGCAUUCACACUUCCCAACCGAACCGGACUUUAUAGAGAAACGGAUUGGAGUCCAACUCCAGCGGACCGGGAGUCGGACUCCAGCUGGUGUUAAUGAACCCUUAACCACCACGGAUGCUUCAGCUGUUAACCAAAGGAAACUUUGCUUCUGCAAAUUGAGUUAUAAAAGAAAAAUGUUUCAUUUUUCCAGAAUUUAAAAAAAGAAAAGAAAACAGCUUCAAUAAAACAGAACCAGCUGCAGUUCUGCUCACUGAAGUUCUUCUGCAACUUGUUUCAACAUCAGAACCCCAAACCCACAUUCAGCAUCUGGCUCUUUUCUGCAGCUCUGCUGGCAGAAAUCCUCCCACAUUCAUCACAGCGGCCAGUCGGCCAUUAAAACCACCUCAUCCUGGUGUGGGAGGGAGUUUCCCCGUGACUCACUGUCCAGCACCGGGCGGAAAGCGGACCGGGUUCUCCCCGACGCUCCCCAAUGUCUCUGCAGCUCUGUGAGGAAGAGGAAGGCUGAGGAAGAAUGGGGCUUCUGCAAACAAACGCAGGGGCCCUGAAACAGAACCAGGAAAUGAACCGUGCUGAAGGCCAACAGCUGAGAGGCGGCCAGAAAUGUGCCUGCUCUAAUUUUAUCAUGAAAUACUAAGUCAGAAAAAGCUGAAAACAUGUUUUUUAAAAUGCGGCCUUGUAAACAUCCACAGGUUUUUAAGAGCUGAACUAUAAAACGAGGAACGUUGCUAAAUGAAAAGGCUUGUAGAUCAUAAACAAGCCUCCCUAAAACAAAUAUCUAAGAAAAAACUAUAUUAAACAAAAAUACAACAGAAUCCGUUUAUAAUUACUUUGCACUAAUUUCUAGAGUUUGAAUUUGACCUCAGUGACUUUAUGAAACAUCCAGAGAUCCAACCUUUUAUUUAACUUUAGCCAAAUCAUAACGUUUUAGAAAUAAAUAAGCAUUAAGAUUUGAGGAUAUUAUGAUUUAUUAAUGCUGCUUCAGUCCAGCCCGUCUCGUUUAUGGGUUUGAGUCGACGUGUUUUCAGACCCAUGUUUUUGUGUUUAGUGGGUCCCACUCCUCCCUGCCUGCCGAUUGGCUGGAUCCCUCAGCCAAUCAGAAGUCGUCGUGGUUUAUAGUAAAUGGGCGUAAAGCUGCUGGAACGAAGGGGGAUUUUCCCUGGACUUUUGAUUAGUUUUUGGCUCCUAUGUGAACAUUUAACAACUUUUUCCACUUAUUGUGUUUAAUUGUGGGAGAAAGUUUUUCUGUAUUUUUAAGUUAUACUAGCGGCUAAACAGCUGUUGUUAUCCAGUGGUGAUGUGAAAAAAUGAGACCAUAAAAAGUCAUUUAAAAUGAUUUCCUCUCCUUUUCUGUAAAAACAAACAUGAAAACAAAAAGGAAAAGAUUUUUAAAGCAACUUGUGAUUCAAAUAUAAUCUUCAGUGAGUUUUCACCUGAAUGGAAAGUAACUAGUUACAUUUACUCCAUUUACUGCAAGUACCAUUAAUCUGCAUGUUAUAUUCAAGUUGUUUACAAAUGUUCAGAUUGAACAUUUGUAAAUUAUUUAGAGGAAAGCAUGUUACUCAGUUAAAUUGCAUGCAUAAAGGAGAAAAAACAACAUGUAUGCAUGAAAGACAGGAUAAAAAUGAAACUGUAAGUUUAUGUCUCAUUAAAAUUAUAUAAAAUGUCUCCCAAAUAUUCAUGAUGUCAUUUUCUAACAUAUUUUAUUUUUUGAUGCAUUUUUGUUCAUAAAAGUUGUUCAUUAAUUAAAAGAAAAAGUUUAACGUUAUCAAGGUAACCGUUUACUUGAGUACUUCAAGUUUUCACCUGUGUAUAAAUCAGUAUUCAAUCAAUAUUAUGAUGCCAAUCAAUUUUAGCUGCAUAUUUUGCAUGAAUGCAUUUAUAAAUGUUGCAUCUUUUCAUCUACUUUCAGGAUAAGCCAGAUUAGAAAGUUUAAUUUGUAAAUUUGCUGUAAAAAGUUUUCUAUUGCUUUUUCUGGUGUUGAGCAGUUUCAUGCCAUUAGUGGCGACUCCUACUGUUUGGAAAGAGAACUGCAACUAUCGGAACAGAAGCAACAUUUAAAGUAUUUUAAGCUCAUCAGUCCAGUUUGGUUUAUUUGAUCCUGAUCAGAUCGAUUUGCUAUUCCUGAAGAAAUGUCUCAGGAGAACAGAAGCAUGUGGGUUAAAGGAUUUUUAGCAAUAAUUAUUCUCUCUUUCCAAACAUCACUGAAUUUAAAUCACCCCUUAAAUUUAUUGAAUAUUAUCAGAUGAAUAGCCUGAACGGGUCGGGUUUUGAGACUAACUGGUAUUUGCUGCUCCUGUAUGUUUAAACGGAUCGACAGAAGCAGAGAUUACCAGCAGCUGCAGCAAAAUUAAACUGGUUUUUGUGAAGUAAAUUCAUAAGAUCAGGUUCUGGUCGGCCGGAGUGAGGACACUUCAUCCAGCCCGGCUGCAUCACUCCGAGUCUGAACAGAAACGGAUUCGGAUCCCUGCUCUAAAACAAACGCUGAAGGCUGGCAGCUGGCCGCUUUCUGUCUCCUCUGAGACAAAGAGCACAAAGACAGGGAUUGUGUGGGAUUGGGGUAAAUAGUUGUAGCCACUGGCCACCCGUUCGGCGCCUCAUGUUGGAGAACGCGGCUCUGCGUUGGCAGGCGGACCGGGACAGAUGCCGACCGGGUCCGACUCGUCGGAGAGGCCGCAGCGCGUGACUGAAACAAACUCCAAAUGAAGGAACGACUCGUCCUUGAUCUGGAAUGGGCCACACCCAGAUUAACGCCUGGCAGUGUUCACAUAAAAAGUGCAUGAAUCGGUUCCUUCUCCUCCCUGCCGGAUCGUCUGACUCACUUUGACUCAGACAAUUGUUGAAUUUUAGAAAUUCUUCACAAAAAAAUCAGACUGAAAGUGUUGCAGAUAAGGAAGGCAAAGAUAAGAACCUGUUAAUGUUCGCUGGAGAGACUCCAGAGUUAAAGCAUUAAAACGACUAACUUUAUCCAACGAUCACGAAGCCGAACGUGUUCUGUUGGGAUUUUAACUGACAGUAGUAAAUAGCUGCAAAAUGAAAUGAAAAGUACAAACCGAAACAAGAAAAACCUGAAGUUGACUGACAUUUACUCUGCCGAAGUCGACGUUCUGCAGAAAGAGCUGCAGGUUUAAGGCUCCAGGAAGCUUUAAAAGAUAAAACGUUUUGGUGGUUUGAUGUUCAAAGUAACUGCACUGCAAAAACACGAAACGUUACCAAGUACAAAUAUCUUACUACACUCAAAGACAAAACUUAUAACUGUCCAGCAAGAUAAUGGAGCUCUUUAUAAAUCAAGAAUGGUUUAAUAUUGAUGAAAAAAUAUUCAUUAGCAGAUGUUUUCACUAAUAAGACAUUUUUCCCCAGUUAUAAGUGAAACAAAGGUGAGAUCAAGAAACUGCAAAAGCACGCCACACUUUUAAGAUUUAAUUUCUUUAAAAGGCACAACUUGUAUUUUUCUGUGCUAAUCUGUUACAUGAGGGGUGCUCAACGUGUGGCCCGAGGGCCAUUUUUGGCCCUUGAAACGAUUCUGAUCAGCACCACGACCACAAGUCAAGAACGGUAAAACGUUUGGCAAAACAGAAACGGAAGAUCUCAAAAAAAUUGGAAAUUGGACUGUUUCUGUGUUAAAUGGAAAAGCAGACAAAGUCUCUCCUGUUUUGGAUCUUUAACGUCAGAUCUUAGAUUUCAUAAAAACUACAGAGUAGGUAAAACUGAAAAGAGAAAAAUCAUGUUAAACUUAUUUUUUGUGUUUAAUACAUUCUGUGGCCCGCAAGUAGAUUAAAUAUGCCAUUUUUGGCCAAAAAAAAAAGAAGUUAGACCCCAUGAUAGUGGAUUUUAUGCACUAUGAUGCAUAAAAUCCAAACCCGUUAGGCUCUGCAGGUGUGCACUACGCUGUAAAUACUUUUCUGAGGUAAUAUUUGUCUUUCAUUUUGAGCGUUCUGCUCAAACCUGAAAAACUUCUGCAGUUAAUGAAAGAAAAUCUUUGAAGCUGCCAGAUUUUUAAUAACUGGUUCGGCUGCAUCGUUUGGAAACUUUCUGUUUAAGUUAGCCGGUUAAAUCUCUGGCUGGAUCUGAAAACACUCAUUUUAAAUCCCAAAAACCUGAUUCAGGCUCCACACAUUGUUGUUUUCAGGCUCCAAUCAAAGAUGGCUGCAGUUUUUCCACAAGCACAGUAAAAAGAAAAAAAAAGGCAGAGACGAGGGAAUGAUAAUAAAUCCCAUGUGUCGCUUAUGAAACUUCAGAUUUCACGAUGUUUAGCUGCAACUGCUUUGUAAAUGUGGAAACGGGAGAAUCUGGUGCUGGGGAGCAAUCAAGCUGCGGUUGAGAGAGAAGGCUGGCAGCCGGGCGUUCACACGCAAACGCUGCAGCGCACUGGCAUCGCACACCGACACGCAGGAGGCCCUGGAGGCGGCGGAGAGCCCGGCGCUGACGAGUCCGGCCCGCAGAUCAACAGGAUGCAGCAGUAAAACUCCAGGAUCAUUCGCACGGCGUCAGCUGCUGCAGCUGAAUAAAGCAACGUUUCAUUCUUUAACAAGCUGCUGCUGACGGAUGGAUCUGCUGCUGUCGUCGAGUUUUCAGACUCUACAAACAGCUGAAGGCCAAAAUGUUCAGCGUCAAAUCCAGAGCAGAUUUCCAUCAACUCUGAACUGAAACGCUGCUAAUGGUGCCCGGCAGGACGAGGGGGCCCAGGCCCCCGUUUAAACUUCCACCGGCCCUUUGAUGUAAAGACAAACACAUCUUCCUUUUCUCCAUUUUAGGAAAGAAUCUAAAACGUUUUAUCUGAGUUACUCCAUAAAUCCUCCUGAAGGCCCUGAAAGGCUCAGAUGUUUAAAGUUUUACCUCUGCAAUGCGCCUUCGAUUCCCCUGAGGUUAAAUAUAGAAACUAAAUAUAGUCUGAUGAUGACCCGGCUUCCUCUACAGAACGGUCAGUUUAUUAUUAGAUAUGAACCCAUUUGUUUCUCACAGCGUCUGUGUUGCUCGGGUGUCGCCUUUACCCUACACCAAACAAAAAUAUGAGACCUGUUGCACAAAGUCGAGGGAAUUUCCAGUUAUUUAUAGAAUAUCUGAAUGGCCUGUAGUGGAACAAAACACAGUAAUGAUUCACUAUAAACUGUACAGACUUAAUGCUCAGCUACGGUCUGGACUGAGUGGUGAAACAUUCCCAGCACAGGCAGCAGGGAUGUGCUGCAUGAUGAAUCUACUUCCUGCAUGAUUAUGACUGUUACCACAGCAACAUACGAACCAUCUUUGCCUCGUUAACAACCUUCAGUCUGCAGAGAAACGUGUCUGACCACGUUAGAGCUUUUUUAAUCCAGAUCCAAAGACGGUUUCCCAAAAGAAAAUAAAAGCCUUAGCAGAAGCUCGUCCUGCCUGGAGCCACGCCCUGAACCUCAACAGGUGGGGCGGCGCUGCGCUUUGUGUCUGGGCAGGAAAAAGGUUCGUCUGUUUACCUGAAGAUCACCAUCAGACAGAACCCGUCUGUCUGUCAGAACCGCAGUUCAGAUGUUCUAUAGCAGAGAGACAAUGGGUGAACAAGUCCACACUCGUUUGGGGGAAAACAGUUAAGAAAUGCGCUGCAGUCGCAUAGAAAAGUGUAACUUCCUCUUUACGUUUUCCCAUUUGGAUGAACGAGAAAAAGACGAACCGACCGGACCUGCGAUGCUUUCAGAUGACUUUAAAGAGGCAGCGUUCAUGUAAAUGGACUUUUUUAGCUUUACGUCAUGUUAUGUUAUUCCCUUCGAGAUGCAGUUCAAGUUUCUGCGACUCCCCCACUCAGCUCCUACAGACUAGCCAGCACCAAUUGGCAAACUGUUGCCUUCAGUUGUUAUAAAAAUGUUAUAUACAGUAUAUCAAAUAUAUUGGGCCCCUGUCUUUAAAAACUGGAAGGUUUCCAUGGAGACUAAAGGAUUUCUCAAACAUGUUUGAAAGAAUCAAGGCAACACUUCAGGUUUGUUUAUCAUAAGAGAAUAAUACAACAUGACAGACUUUACCAGUCUAUCAGCAUCAAUUAAUGAGAAGACAGGACAACUUCAAGCAUUCAGCAAAUUGAGGUGAGGAAACUUUCUCCAGAGCAGACAGAGAGUCUGAUGAGAUCAAUAAUGUAAAUUCUUCAUACUAAUGCGAUAAAUAAUUUAACAACCAGCAUCAGAUGCGCUGAGAGGUGAUGCCUGAGGUUCAUUUAAGUGACUCCUUGAAGACAGAAACACAAUAAUCAUAAAUAAUAAUAUAUUCAGAACAUUUGAUCACUUUUUCAGCCAUAAAAUAGCAAACAGCUCGGGGCUAAAUGUUUCAGAGGUUUUCUGAGACGUUUCUCAGCCGAACCCAGCAGAAGGAGCUGCAGCCUCCACCCUCUACCUGCUUCUGCAUAUUUCACUUUCCAACCGUUUUUAAAUCCUUUAUGAAAGCAGCCGGAGCUGCAGGGGAAUGUCUGGCAGUCCGAGCAGACAGCUUGAGGUUCUCCCUGCGGGAAGGCGACAUGUGCUACAGUUAGCCAAACAAAGCUGUGUGUGUGAGCGCAGCCUUCAGGCUGAACAGGUGUGUCCCUUCAGCUGGACCGGACUCAGCGCUUCACCUGUUGCGUCGCAUUCAGAGGGAAAUGAGGACAGAAGCGAGCAGGAAGCCCAUCCAGUCACUUCCCAUCACACGAGACCACUCGGCCCAUUCCACAGGCCUCAAAAAAAACCUCUGAGUCACCGCCGCGUCACGGCGCCAUGGCAACCAAACAAAAAAACAGGCUGGCUAAAAGCAGCAGAGGAGAGAGGCGUUUCACCACACAGGCGUCAGAAGAUCGGCUUCCUCUGAAAAACAGCAUCAGAAUCACAACAGAGGCUGAACGUUGCUCUCUCAACACUGAGACUAGUCAGUCAGCAGCAGCCAAUACGACGUCUUAUCAGGCAAAAAGAAGAGUACGUUUCCACCAAAGACCUCAGAAAUUUAACGAUUUAUCUCAGAAAUAAAACAAAACAAAAAAAACAUGGAAAUUCUGGAGAAAAAAGCCCAGAAAUUUGAAGAUUAAUACAAUUUUUAAAAAAAAUAAAUAAAUAACGUGCACGUUUGACAAUUUGCACUCAAAAAUUUCAGGGAAA